RNAcentral lists this ribosomal RNA (253 nucleotides) under uncultured bacterium. RNAcentral's name for it is "partial 16S ribosomal RNA". It matches the Rfam family "Bacterial small subunit ribosomal RNA", at positions 524 to 776 of the family's 1533-position model. The record is from RNAcentral.
GACAGAGGUCCCGAGCGUUAAUCGGAAUUACUGGGCGUAAAGCGUGCGCAGGCGGUUGUGCAAGACAGAUGUGAAAUCCCCGGGCUUAACCUGGGAACUGCAUUUGUGACUGCACGGCUAGAGUGUGUCAGAGGGGGGUAGAAUUCCACGUGUAGCAGUGAAAUGCGUAGAUAUGUGGAGGAAUACCGAUGGCGAAGGCAGCCCCCUGGGAUAACACUGACGCUCAUGCACGAAAGCGUGGGGAGCAAACAGG